AUGUCCCGCGUCUGCCUCCGCCGCCGCCUCUCCUCCUCCUCCUUCUCCAACUGCACCUCGCCGCCCUCCCCAACCUGGUCUCCCCACGCCGCCUUUGCCGCGGCCACAGAGCGCGUGCGAGCCGGUACGCUCAGCCCGCAAGACGCACACCACCUGUUCGACGUAUUGUUUCAGCAGGCCAUUCGGGUCCCCGAGCGCUCCCUUGAUGGAUUCCUUGCCGCCCUCAGCCAUGCUACGUCCUCUGAAGCCUGCAGAGACGGCCCCGCCCUCGCCCUCACCCUCUUCAACCGUGUCUGCCGAGAAGAAGCCGGCAUGCGGGUGGCGCCGCACACCAUCUUCACCUACGGCAUCCUCAUGAACUGCUGCUGCCGCGUACGUCGUCCGGACCUAGGGCUUGCCUUCUUUGGGCGCAUCCUCAGGGCGGGCCUGAAGACAAACCAGAUCGCCGCCAACACCGUCAUCAAGUGCCUCUGCUGCGCAAAACAUACUGACGAGGCUGUCAAUAUGCUGCUUCAUAGGAUGUCCGACCUCGGCUGUGUGCCUGAUGCCUUCUCAUACAACACCGUUCUGAAGAGCUUGUGUGAAGACGGCAGGAGCUUGCAGGCGCUCGACCUACUGCUCCAGAUGGUUGCUCCCCCGACGUGGUGGCUUAUAACACGGUCAUCUAUGGCUUCUUUAAGGAAGAUGGUUGAUAACGGUGUUCGGCCGGAUGAGGUGACAUAUACUAGCAUGAUCCAUGGAUAUUCCACUUUGGGCCGGCUGAAAGAGGUGCGUAAAAUGUUCAGAGAAAUGACAAGCUGUGGUCUUAUACCAGAUGUUGUCACUUGGAACUCGUUCAUGGACUCCCUUUGCAAGCAUGGAAGAACCAAAGAAGCUGCAAAGGUUUUCUUUUCCAUGGCUGCAAAGGGCAACAAGCCUAAUAUUGUCUCCUACACUAUUCUUCUUCAUGGGUAUGCCAAUGAAGGAAGCUUUGCUGAUAUGAUGAGUCUCUUCAAUUCAAUGAAAGGCGGCGGCAUUGUAGCCAACUGCAAAGUUUUCAACAUAUUAAUUGGUGCAUAUGCUAAACGAGGGCUGAUAGAUGAAGCUAUGCUCAUACUUACUGAAAUGCGGGGACAAGGACUGAGUCCGGAUGUAGUCACCUAUUCAACUCUAAUAUCUGCACAUUGGAGAAUGGGUAAGCUGACUGAUGCAAUGGAUAAGUUCAGUCAGAUGGUUGUUGGUAUGGGAGUACAGCCGGACACAGUUUUUUAUCACUCCCUAGUUCAGUUCUUAUGUACACAUGGUGAUUUGGUGAAAGCGAAGGAGUUGAUUUCUGAAAUGAUGAAUAAAGGUAUUGCUCGUCCAAACACUGCACUCUUCAGUUCAAUAAUGGACAGUCUAUGCAAUGAAGGAAGGGUUAUAGAUGCACACCAUAUCUUUGACUUGGUUAUAGACAUAGGUGAGAAACCUGAUAUCAGUAUGUUUAGUACGCUGAUUGACGGAUAUUGCUUAGUCGGCGAGAUGGACAAAGCAUGUGGAGUACUUGAUGCCAUGGUAUCAGCUGGCAUUGAGCCUAAUGUCAUUACGUAUAGCACACUUGUCAGUAGAUAUUGUAAACGUGGAAGGAUCGAUGAUGGGUUAAUUCUGUUCAGACAAAUGUUGCAUAAGAAAGUUAAACCUACAACUGUUACAUAUGAAACCAUACUGAAUGGAUUAUUUCGUGCUGGGAGAACUGCUGAUGCAAAGAAAAUGUUCCAUGAGAUGAUCGAAAGUGGAAUAAUGGUUGAAAGAAGAGAAGAAGCUAAUGAUUUGUUUGCUGCAUUACCAGCCAGUGGGUUGGUGCCUAAUGCUUCCACUUACGGAGUAAUGGUACAAAAUCUUCUAAAAGAAGGAGCAGUGGAGGAAGCUGACAGGAUGUAUCUCACCACAAUCUUUCAGGGACGAAACCUUUAA
This 1932-nucleotide ribosomal RNA is filed under the name Triticum aestivum (bread wheat). RNAcentral's name for it is "partial small subunit ribosomal RNA". The record is from RNAcentral. Lineage: Eukaryota; Viridiplantae; Streptophyta; Magnoliopsida; Poales; Poaceae.